CUUAAAUUGAAGAGUUUGAUCAUGGCUCAGAUUGAACGCUGGCGGCAGGCCUAACACAUGCAAGUCGAGCGGUAGCACAGAGGAGCUUG
This 89-nucleotide ribosomal RNA is filed under the name Pectobacterium carotovorum subsp. carotovorum ICMP 5702. RNAcentral describes it as "partial 16S ribosomal RNA". It matches the Rfam family "Bacterial small subunit ribosomal RNA", at positions 1 to 86 of the family's 1533-position model. The record is from RNAcentral. Lineage: Bacteria; Pseudomonadati; Pseudomonadota; Gammaproteobacteria; Enterobacterales; Pectobacteriaceae.